Molecule: ribosomal RNA, 253 nt
Filed under: uncultured bacterium
Lineage: Bacteria
Description: partial 16S ribosomal RNA
Rfam family: Bacterial small subunit ribosomal RNA
Source: RNAcentral
UACGAAGGGGGCUAGCGUUGCUCGGAAUGACUGGGCGUAAAGGGCGCGUAGGCGGCUUACAUAGUUAGGCGUGAAAUUCCUGGGCUCAACCUGGUGACUGCGUCUAAUACAUGUAGGCUUGAAUGUGAAAGAGGGCCGUGGAAUUUCCAGUGUAGAGGUGAAAUUCGUAGAUAUUGGAAAGAACACCGGUGGCGAAGGCGGCGACCUGGUUCAUUACUGACGCUGAGGCGCGAAAGCGUGGGGAGCAAACAGG